This is a long non-coding RNA of Pipistrellus kuhlii (Kuhl's pipistrelle), 764 nucleotides long. RefSeq lists it as uncharacterized. Lineage: Eukaryota; Metazoa; Chordata; Mammalia; Chiroptera; Vespertilionidae. The transcript has 2 exons. The record is from RefSeq and is a predicted model, not a curated record.
GGAGGACACUCAGGCUUAGCGAAAACUUCAUCAUGGCACCUGAUGGUGAACAGAAAAAACCCUCGGCUUCGGAGACCUAACUCAUUACUCUUGGCCCAGUAUCAGGAUGCUGCCUCUUUAAAUUUUUGACAUUUACUAUGCUUUUUUGCUGCAACCAUCUGGUAGGCCAUUGCAUUAGAACCUAAGAAGCCUUGAAUUAACUCUAUAAAAAGUACAGCUUAGACAGAAAUCAAACUGGAAUCCUAAAGGAGAAUGGGGGAGAGGGGAGGAAGCACUGGCCUAUGGUUCCAGACACCUGGGCUCUCUCCUUACCUUCGUUGCUAACUAGCUGUGUGACAUUGGGCAUAUCACUCAGUCUUUCUGGUCCUUAACUUUCUCAUCGACGCAAUGACCAGGAGUGACUGCAUAAUUUUAGGAGCCCUCCAGCUUGAAAUACUACCAUCUUAACCUUGAAAGCUGGUGUGAGGCAGCAGACAUGCACAUGAUGAGCGCGGAACGUACCAGCAAGUCUACCCAAAAGAGUUCACCCCUCAGGGGCUUUCCUGAAACUGCCUUCUGAGGAAUGCUGCACAUUUUUGAGAAGUUAAUUACAAACCGAAUUGCUUUCUCGUUGACCAACAAAUGAAGAACACCCUAGAGAUUUAUGGCACCUUUUUCAAAAGAAUGUAUUUCACUCCGGUGAGAAAUUCUAUUUUUCUUGUUCAUAAAAUUUCUAAUUUGAUUUGUCUCAGUAAAAAUUAAAAAUGUAUAUCACUGGUGGAUCA